UACAGAGGUCUCAAGCGUUGUUCGGAUUCAUUGGGCGUAAAGGGCGCGUAGGCGGUCGCGUGUGUCUGCUGUGAAAGCGCACGGCUCAACCGUGUGAAGUCGGUAGAAACUGCGGGACUUGAGGCUGGGAGAGGUUGGUGGAAUUCCCUGUGUAGCGGUGAAAUGCGUAGAUAUAGGGGAGAACACUCGUGGCGAAGGCGGCCAGCUGGACCAGCCCUGACGCUGAGGCGCGACAGCGUGGGGAGCAAACAGG
RNAcentral lists this ribosomal RNA (253 nucleotides) under uncultured bacterium. RNAcentral's name for it is "partial 16S ribosomal RNA". It matches the Rfam family "Bacterial small subunit ribosomal RNA", at positions 524 to 776 of the family's 1533-position model. The record is from RNAcentral.